AGUUGAUCCAGAAAUUUUGAACGAUGAUCAAGGCGAUCAGUACUUUAGACUUUUGUGGGCAACACUGGACAAGAAGAAGAGGAAAACUUGUUUAUAUGUAGAUCCUCUGGCAACAAAAUACUAUUAUCACAAUAAAAAGGGGAGAGAAAAGAUUUUUAGUCGACUGAUGAAGGACAACUUCUUUGAGAUGAAAUAUGUUUUUUUCCCAAUUUGUUUGUGGAAUCAUUGGGUGUUGAUAGUGUUGUGCAACCCAAGCAACAAUCUAAAAGGUGGGGCUUAACGCCCAACAAUGCUGCUGUUGGAUUCAUUAAAGGGUUCCGAAUCUGGAAAUGUUGAACAGUUUAUUCGAGGG
Long non-coding RNA from Daucus carota subsp. sativus, 352 nucleotides. RefSeq lists it as uncharacterized. The transcript is spliced from 3 exons. The record is from RefSeq and is a predicted model, not a curated record. Lineage: Eukaryota; Viridiplantae; Streptophyta; Magnoliopsida; Apiales; Apiaceae.